AGUGAACGCUGGCGGUAGGCCUAACACAUGCAAGUCGAACGGCAGCACAGGAUAGCUUGCUCUCUAGGUGGCGAGUGGCGGACGGGUGAGGAAUACAUCGGAAUCUGCCCAGUCGUGGGGGAUAACGUAGGGAGACUUACGCUAAUACCGCAUACGACCUUCGGGUGAAAGAGGGGGAUCGCAAGACCUCUCGCGAUUGGAUGAGCCGAUGUCGGAUUAGCUAGUUAGCGGGGUAAUGGCCCACCAAGGCGACGAUCCGUAGCUGGUCUGAGAGGAUGAUCAGCCACACUGGAACUGAGACACGGUCCAGACUCCUACGGGAGGCAGCAGUGGGGAAUAUUGGACAAUGGGCGCAAGCAUGAACCAGCCAUACCGCGUGGGCGAAGAAGGCCUUCGGGUUGUAAAGCCCUUUUGUUGGGAAAGAAAUCUUUCAGGCUAAUACCCUGGGAGGAUGACGGUACCCAAAGAAUAAGCACCGGCUAACUUCGUG
RNAcentral lists this ribosomal RNA (490 nucleotides) under uncultured bacterium. RNAcentral describes it as "partial 16S ribosomal RNA". It matches the Rfam family "Bacterial small subunit ribosomal RNA", at positions 29 to 507 of the family's 1533-position model. The record is from RNAcentral.